CUGCCAGACCCUACUGCUGUCGGGAUGGGACUAAGCCAUGCGAGUUGUGCGCCUCUUAGCCACGGUUGAGGCGCAGCAUACGGCUCAGUAACACGUGGCUAACCUGCCCUUGGGACCGGAAUACCCCCGGGAAACUGGGGCUAAUUCUCGAUAGGUGAAGAACUCUGGAAUGAGUCUUUGCCAAAAAGACGUUUACGUUAUGCUCGUAGGCGUUGCCCAAGGAUGAGGCCGCGACCGAUCAGGUUGUUGGUGAGGUAAUGGCUCACCAAGCCUUCUACCGGUGCGGGCCGUGAGAGCGGGAGCCCGGAGAUGGGCACUGAGACAAGGGCCCAGGCCCUACGGGGCGCAGCAGUCGCGAAAACUUUGCAAUACACGAAAGUGUGACAGGGCUAUCCCGGGUGCCAUCCGCUGAGGAAGGCUUUUACCCAGUCUAGAACGCUGGGGGAAUAAGGAGAGGGCAAGUCUGGUGUCAGCCGCCGCGGUAAUACCAGCUCUCCGAGUGGUGUGGAUGUUUAUUGGGCCUAAAGCAUCCGUAGCUGGCUAGGUUAGUCCCCUGUUAAAUCCACCGAAUUAAUCGUUGGAUUGCGGGGGACACUACUUGGCUAGGGGACGAGAGAGGCAGACGGUAUUUCCGGGGUAGGGGUGAAAUCCUAUAAUCCCGGGAAGACCACCAGUGGCGAAGGCUGUCUGCUAGAACGCGCCCGACGGUGAGUGAUGAAAGCUGGGGGAGCGAACCGGAUUAGAUACCCGGGUAGUCCCAGCUGUAAACGAUGCAGACUAGGUGUUUGGACGGCCACGUGCCGUUCUAGUGCCGCAGGGAAGCUGUUAAGUCUGCCUCCUGGGGGAGUACGAUCGCAAGAUUGAAACUUAAAGGAAUUGGCGGGGGAGCACCACAAGGGGUGAAGCUUGCGGUUUAAUUGGAUUCAACGCCGGA
Molecule: ribosomal RNA, 934 nt
Filed under: uncultured crenarchaeote
Lineage: Archaea; Thermoproteati; Thermoproteota
Description: bacterial SSU rRNA
Rfam family: Archaeal small subunit ribosomal RNA
Source: RNAcentral